This 737-nucleotide ribosomal RNA is filed under the name Vibrio sp. KR05-23. Its description in RNAcentral is "bacterial SSU rRNA". It matches the Rfam family "Bacterial small subunit ribosomal RNA", at positions 45 to 785 of the family's 1533-position model. The record is from RNAcentral. Lineage: Bacteria; Pseudomonadati; Pseudomonadota; Gammaproteobacteria; Vibrionales; Vibrionaceae.
GGAACGACACUAACAAUCCUUCGGGUGCGUUAAUGGGCGUCGAGCGGCGGACGGGUGAGUAAUGCCUAGGAAAUUGCCUUGAUGUGGGGGAUAACCAUUGGAAACGAUGGCUAAUACCGCAUAAUGCCUACGGGCCAAAGAGGGGGACCUUCGGGCCUCUCGCGUCAAGAUAUGCCUAGGUGGGAUUAGCUAGUUGGUGAGGUAAUGGCUCACCAAGGCGACGAUCCCUAGCUGGUCUGAGAGGAUGAUCAGCCACACUGGAACUGAGACACGGUCCAGACUCCUACGGGAGGCAGCAGUGGGGAAUAUUGCACAAUGGGCGAAAGCCUGAUGCAGCCAUGCCGCGUGUAUGAAGAAGGCCUUCGGGUUGUAAAGUACUUUCAGUUGUGAGGAAGGGGGUANCGUUAAUAGCGNUAUCUCUUGACGUUAGCAACAGAAGAAGCACCGGCUAACUCCGUGCCAGCAGCCGCGGUAAUACGGAGGGUGCGAGCGUUAAUCGGAAUUACUGGGCGUAAAGCGCAUGCAGGUGGUUCAUUAAGUCAGAUGUGAAAGCCCGGGGCUCAACCUCGGAACUGCAUUUGAAACUGGUGAACUAGAGUACUGUAGAGGGGGGUAGAAUUUCAGGUGUAGCGGUGAAAUGCGUAGAGAUCUGAAGGAAUACCNGUGGCGAAGGCGGCCCCCUGGACAGAUACUGACACUCNNAUGCNAAAGCGUGGGGAGCAAACNGGAUUAGAUAC